RNAcentral lists this ribosomal RNA (253 nucleotides) under uncultured bacterium. Its description in RNAcentral is "partial 16S ribosomal RNA". It matches the Rfam family "Bacterial small subunit ribosomal RNA", at positions 524 to 776 of the family's 1533-position model. The record is from RNAcentral.
UACGUAGGUGACAAGCGUUGUCCGGAUUUACUGGGCGUAAAGAGCGCGUAGGCGGUCGUUCAAGUCGAGUGUGAAAGCCCCCGGCUCAACUGGGGAGGGUCAUUCGAUACUGAUCGACUCGAAGGCAGGAGAGGGUAGUGGAAUUCCCGGUGUAGUGGUGAAAUGCGUAGAUAUCGGGAGGAACACCAGUGGCGAAGGCGACUGCCUGGCCUGUUCUUGACGCUGAGGCGCGAAAGCUAGGGGAGCAAACGGG